RNAcentral lists this ribosomal RNA (1380 nucleotides) under Lactiplantibacillus plantarum. RNAcentral describes it as "bacterial SSU rRNA". It matches the Rfam family "Bacterial small subunit ribosomal RNA", at positions 66 to 1434 of the family's 1533-position model. Lineage: Bacteria; Bacillati; Bacillota; Bacilli; Lactobacillales; Lactobacillaceae. The record is from RNAcentral.
GCUUGCAUCAUGAUUUACAUUUGAGUGAGUGGCGAACUGGUGAGUAACACGUGGGAAACCUGCCCAGAAGCGGGGGAUAACACCUGGAAACAGAUGCUAAUACCGCAUAACAACUUGGACCGCAUGGUCCGAGUUUGAAAGAUGGCUUCGGCUAUCACUUUUGGAUGGUCCCGCGGCGUAUUAGCUAGAUGGUGGGGUAACGGCUCACCAUGGCAAUGAUACGUAGCCGACCUGAGAGGGUAAUCGGCCACAUUGGGACUGAGACACGGCCCAAACUCCUACGGGAGGCAGCAGUAGGGAAUCUUCCACAAUGGACGAAAGUCUGAUGGAGCAACGCCGCGUGAGUGAAGAAGGGUUUCGGCUCGUAAAACUCUGUUGUUAAAGAAGAACAUAUCUGAGAGUAACUGUUCAGGUAUUGACGGUAUUUAACCAGAAAGCCACGGCUAACUACGUGCCAGCAGCCGCGGUAAUACGUAGGUGGCAAGCGUUGUCCGGAUUUAUUGGGCGUAAAGCGAGCGCAGGCGGUUUUUUAAGUCUGAUGUGAAAGCCUUCGGCUCAACCGAAGAAGUGCAUCGGAAACUGGGAAACUUGAGUGCAGAAGAGGACAGUGGAACUCCAUGUGUAGCGGUGAAAUGCGUAGAUAUAUGGAAGAACACCAGUGGCGAAGGCGGCUGUCUGGUCUGUAACUGACGCUGAGGCUCGAAAGUAUGGGUAGCAAACAGGAUUAGAUACCCUGGUAGUCCAUACCGUAAACGAUGAAUGCUAAGUGUUGGAGGGUUUCCGCCCUUCAGUGCUGCAGCUAACGCAUUAAGCAUUCCGCCUGGGGAGUACGGCCGCAAGGCUGAAACUCAAAGGAAUUGACGGGGGCCCGCACAAGCGGUGGAGCAUGUGGUUUAAUUCGAAGCUACGCGAAGAACCUUACCAGGUCUUGACAUACUAUGCAAAUCUAAGAGAUUAGACGUUCCCUUCGGGGACAUGGAUACAGGUGGUGCAUGGUUGUCGUCAGCUCGUGUCGUGAGAUGUUGGGUUAAGUCCCGCAACGAGCGCAACCCUUAUUAUCAGUUGCCAGCAUUAAGUUGGGCACUCUGGUGAGACUGCCGGUGACAAACCGGAGGAAGGUGGGGAUGACGUCAAAUCAUCAUGCCCCUUAUGACCUGGGCUACACACGUGCUACAAUGGAUGGUACAACGAGUUGCGAACUCGCGAGAGUAAGCUAAUCUCUUAAAGCCAUUCUCAGUUCGGAUUGUAGGCUGCAACUCGCCUACAUGAAGUCGGAAUCGCUAGUAAUCGCGGAUCAGCAUGCCGCGGUGAAUACGUUCCCGGGCCUUGUACACACCGCCCGUCACACCAUGAGAGUUUGUAACACCCAAAGUCGGUGGG